Molecule: ribosomal RNA, 312 nt
Filed under: uncultured bacterium
Lineage: Bacteria
Description: partial 16S ribosomal RNA
Rfam family: Bacterial small subunit ribosomal RNA
Source: RNAcentral
UGGGGAAUAUUGCACAAUGGGCGCAAGCCUGAUGCAGCCAUGCCGCGUGUGUGAAGAAGGCCUUCGGGUUGUAAAGCACUUUCAGCGAGGAGGAAGGCGUUAAGGUUAAUAACCUUGGCGAUUGACGUUACUCGCAGAAGAAGCACCGGCUAACUCCGUGCCAGCAGCCGCGGUAAUACGGAGGGUGCAAGCGUUAAUCGGAAUUACUGGGCGUAAAGCGCACGCAGGCGGUUUGUUAAGUCAGAUGUGAAAUCCCCGAGCUUAACUUGGGAACUGCAUUUGAAACUGGCAAGCUAGAGUCUUGUAGAGGGG